GAAAGCGGAAGUUUCUUGGUCGA
This 23-nucleotide small nuclear RNA is filed under the name Arabidopsis thaliana (thale cress). Its description in RNAcentral is "snRNA_18287". The record is from RNAcentral. Lineage: Eukaryota; Viridiplantae; Streptophyta; Magnoliopsida; Brassicales; Brassicaceae.